RNAcentral lists this ribosomal RNA (497 nucleotides) under uncultured bacterium. Its description in RNAcentral is "partial 16S ribosomal RNA". It matches the Rfam family "Bacterial small subunit ribosomal RNA", at positions 28 to 507 of the family's 1533-position model. The record is from RNAcentral.
GAUGAACGCUGGCGGCGUGCCUAAUACAUGCAAGUCGAGCGAACAGACGAGGAGCUUGCUCCUCUGACGUUAGCGGCGGACGGGUGAGUCACACGUGGAUAACCUACCUAUAAGAUUGGGAUAACUUCGGGAAACCGGAGCUAAUACCGGAUAAUAUAUUGAACCGCAUGGUUCAAUAGUGAAAGACGGUUUUGCUGUCACUUAUAGAUGGAUCCGCGCCGCAUUGGCUAGUUGGUAAGGUAACGGCGUACCAAGGCAACGAUGCGUCGCCGGCCUGAGCGGCUGAUCGGCCACACUGGAACUGAGAAACUGUCCAGACGCCUACAGUAGGCAGCAGGAGGGAAUCUUUGGCUAUGGUCGAAAGCGUGACAGAGCAACGCCGCGUGAGUGAUGAAGGUCUGCGGAUCGUAGAACUCUGUUAUUAGGGAAGAACAAAUAUGUAAGUAACUAUGGACGUCUUGACGGUACCGAAUCAGAAAGCCACGGCUAACUACGUG